This is a long non-coding RNA of Bicyclus anynana (squinting bush brown), 2070 nucleotides long. RefSeq lists it as uncharacterized. Lineage: Eukaryota; Metazoa; Arthropoda; Insecta; Lepidoptera; Nymphalidae. The transcript has 2 exons. The record is from RefSeq and is a predicted model, not a curated record.
CGAGGGAAAUUGAAGAGAACUCCUCGACGGUUCACAGUAGCUACCUUGUGUUUGGACUUGAUAAAUUUGUAUUGAUGAGAACUUUCCACCUAGAAGGAUUGUGACUGUAUUAAGGGUCUGGUGAUGAAGACGAGGGACAUUGAAGAGAACUCCUCGACGGUUCACAGUAGCUACCUUGUGUUUGGACUUGAUAAAUUUGUAUUGAUGAGAACUUUUCACUUAGAUAGGUUGUGACUGUACACACGCAGUGGGUUUGGAGUUGAUCUGAUGAUGGAGCUGAAACACAUACGAUGGAACUCGUCAACGAUUUACAGCAGUUACCUUUUGUUUGGACUUGUUAAUUUUGUAUUGAUGAGAACUUUCCACCUAGAUGGGUUGUGACUGUAUUAAGGAUCUGGUGAUGAAGAUGAAGGACAGUAAAGAGAACUCCUGGACGGUUCACAGUAGCUACCUUGUGUUUGAACUUGUUAAUUUUGUAUUGAUGAGAACUUUCCACCUAGAUGGGUUGUGACUGUAUUAAGGGUCUGCUGGUGAAGAUGAAGGACAGUGAAGAGAACUCCUCGACGGUUCACAGUAGCUACCUUGUGUUUGGACUUGAUUAAUUUUAUGUUGAUGAGAACUUUCCACACAUAUGGGUUGUGACUGCAUAAGGGGUCUGGUGGUGAAGACGGAGGACAGUUAAGACAAUUCCUUAUUGGUUAUGAUACCUUUCACGUUUUUCUGGAUAUUCAUAUUACGUGUGGAUAAAGGGGAAGUGAAAUUUUGUAAUGAGUUAAGGAGUAUUUUCAAAAUUGGGAUUGUAGUACUUAGGUAGGUACUUAUCAUAAGAAAAUAACGUUUUAGCUAAUUGCUUUUUUUUUUUUUUAAUUCACUACUACACACAUUUAAUAGGUAUGCUAACACUAAAAAUAACAAAAUAAAUAAUAUUGAAAUAAAUACUUACAGCGCGCGGUACGUAAACAUGUGAUAGGGCUGCCUGCCUCCAGCAUUUUAAUUACAUUUGCCAACUUUGUAUUUCCAUUUAGUUUUGUGAUUGUAAAUAUACUUUUUUUAUGUAAACAAAUAAAAUAUUUUGUAAAUUGUAGUAAAAUAGGAAGUGAUCAAUAAAAUGCGUGUUGUUUUUUGAUUGGUAGAUUUAAAUAAGGCUGAUACUAUUCAAUGACCUUGAAGGAUAGGUCGUAUUCAUAUGUUUAUUUUGGUGAUGCCAUCUAGGUAUUACCUCCACACUACGUGACCAAAUAUUAAAAAACCGGUCAAGUGCGUGUCGGACCACGCGCAGUGUAGGGUUCCGUAGAUUAUGUUAGCCCAUUAAUCGCUUAUGUUUUUCUCAAUUUCAAAGCCUUUAUUAUUCCUUACAUUAUUACAUUAAACAAGUUUUUCAAUUAAUAAGAGUAACAGUUUUAAUUUUUUUUUCUAUGUUAGUAUAUUGUUAGUGUAUCUGUUUGAAGUUUAGUAUGUUAGUGGGUUAGUCUUAUUUCUAAUUAAUAAAAUCUAUUUAACUAGUAAGUUGAAAUUGAAAUUGAGGUAUAGCUCGCGUUUCGACCUCUAGUAUGAAGUCAAACUACUGCUUGCAUAUUUACUGUGACAUUGCUUAGACUAUCCACAGAUUAAAUACAUAGAAUAUUCGAUUACUGAUCGAUGUUUGGCUGUUUCGUCAAAAGAAUCGAUUCUUUUUAUAAAUUGUUUUUAUUAAAAAUUUUAUAAAAUUAAGGUUUAAAUACUUUCAAAUGAAACGUUACUCCAUCUUCUACUAAACUACAAGUUUUUGGCCGUUUUUUAUGCCAUUUAACUACACAAACCGGCAUUUUUAGGGAGCUCCUUACACGACGAAAACGAUUACAACAAUGAAACAUCGAUUCUGUAGCAACAGUUUUUAUAAACGCAUUAGAUCAUAGAUUUUUGAUCUUUGCCAGAGGGGUAACGGUUAGCGAACCACGUCCAGUUAUUAAUGGUCUAAGAUUCAAAUGAAACAGUAAAUAGUAAUUUAAAAAAAAUAGUAGGAGUAGGAGGAGACCUUUUUUAAUGUAAUUUAUAAUUAUAUGAAUAAUAAAUAUAGUGAAUAACCUAUAA